AGUGAACGCUGGCGGCAGGCCUAAUACAUGCAAGUCGAACGGCAGCACAGCAGAGCUUGCUCUGUGGGUGGCGAGUGGCGGACGGGUGAGGAAUACGUGGGAAUCUGCCCAGUCGUGGGGGAUAACGUAGGGAAACUUACGCUAAUACCGCAUGCGCCCUUCGGGGAAAGCCGGGGACCUUCGGGCCUGGCGCGAUUGGAUGAGCCCACGUCGGAUUAGCUAGUUGGCGGGGUAAAGGCCCACCAAGGCGACGAUCCGUAGCUGGUCUGAGAGGAUGAUCAGCCACACUGGAACUGAGACACGGUCCAGACUCCUACGGGAGGCAGCAGUAGGGAAUAUUGGACAAUGGGCGCAAGCCUGAUCCAGCCAUGCCGCGUGAGUGAAGAAGG
RNAcentral lists this ribosomal RNA (389 nucleotides) under uncultured bacterium. RNAcentral describes it as "bacterial SSU rRNA". It matches the Rfam family "Bacterial small subunit ribosomal RNA", at positions 30 to 414 of the family's 1533-position model. The record is from RNAcentral.